Sebastes umbrosus (honeycomb rockfish) is the source of this 171-nucleotide long non-coding RNA. RefSeq lists it as uncharacterized. The transcript has 2 exons. Lineage: Eukaryota; Metazoa; Chordata; Actinopteri; Perciformes; Sebastidae. The record is from RefSeq and is a predicted model, not a curated record.
AGAACCGAUACUUCGGUACCAACUCUGUACCAAAAUUCAAAAAAUGUGACGGUACUCGUUUUCUUCGGUACUGGAGAUGCGAUUCUUCCGGAUCUAAUGGGGGCAGUAUACACUUAGAAGUGUUCUCAUCUGCCGUGAAAUGAAGGAAGAAGAACGUCGUAACAGCACGGA